Molecule: ribosomal RNA, 468 nt
Filed under: uncultured bacterium
Lineage: Bacteria
Description: bacterial SSU rRNA
Rfam family: Bacterial small subunit ribosomal RNA
Source: RNAcentral
GAUGAACGCUAGCGGCAGGCCUAAUACAUGCAAGUAAAGGGGAUAGCAAUAUCACCGGCGGACGGGUGCGUAACGCGUACACAACGUGCCCAAGGGCGGAGGAAAGCGGCGGGAAACUGCCGGUAAUACUCCAUGGUGUUGUUGAGUGGCAUCACUUAACAACUAAAGUACAAGCGCCCUUGGAUCGGUGUGCGUUCGAUUAGCUAGUUGGCGGGGUAACGGCCCACCAAGGCUUCGAUCGAUAGGGGGUGUGAGAGCAUGACCCCCCACACGGGUACUGAGACACGGACCCGACUCCUACGGGAGGCAGCAGUAAGGAAUAUUGGACAAUGGGCGGAAGCCUGAUCCAGCCAUGCCGCGUGAAGGACGAAGGCGCUCAGCGUUGUAAACUUCUUUUGGAUGGGAACAAUAACUCCGACUUGUCGGAACUUGAGGGUACCAUCAGAAUAAGCACCGGCUAACUCCGUG